AUUGAACGCUGGCGGCAGGCCUAACACAUGCAAGUCGAACGAGUGGCGGACGGGUGAGUAAUGUCUGGGAAACUGCCUGAUGGAUGGGGAUAACUACUGGAAACGGUAGCUAAUACCGCAUACCAUCGGAUGUGCCCAGAUGGGAUUAGCUUGUUGGUGGGGUAACGGCGCACCAAGGCGACGGUCCCUAGCUGGUCUGAGAGGAUGACCAGCAACACGGGGACGGAGACACGGUCCAAACUCCUACGGGCGGCAGCAGGGGGGAAUAUUGGCCAAGUGGCGCAAGGCUGAUGGACCCAUGCCGCGAGUAUGAAGAAGGCCUUCGGGUUGUAAAGUACUUUCAGUGGGGAGGCGGUACCCGCAGAAGAAGCACCGGCUAACUCCGUGCCAGCAGCCGCGGUAAUUC
Molecule: ribosomal RNA, 406 nt
Filed under: uncultured bacterium
Lineage: Bacteria
Description: partial 16S ribosomal RNA
Rfam family: Bacterial small subunit ribosomal RNA
Source: RNAcentral